CCUCGUGAACGCACCCAAAGACUAAAAUGUAAUCCAGGGGCGGGCUUUCCGCUUGCCCGAUUUCGGAGUGAUCGAGUGCUGUAUAUCCAAUUAGUAAUCAGUAAAGAUUCCCGGUGGACCAAUUAGAACGUAGUGUAUAUCCCCCGUCACCAAUCUGCUUCGACGGGGGCGGGACGUUGCUAAUAGCGGAAGCGAGGAGGUAAUGUCAGAUUUGGGCACUAGUCAAAUUCAAGGGGACCCCCCCUCCUCUCCACAAGUCUCCAGUUUGAGGUUGAUCUGCACUCGUUUAGCACAGCGUUACCAGUCUCUACUGGACAGAUCCACCCCGCACGCACUGGGAAGAUGGGGAGCCACUGUCAUUCUGGGACUGCUGUACAUGAUCCGAGUCUUCAUACUGCAGGGCUGGUAUAUUGUGACAUAUGCUUUGGGGAUUUAUCACCUGAAUCUACUGGUGGCGUUCCUGUCUCCUAAAAUUGAACCAUCAUUGCUAGAAGAUUCAGAUGAUGACAUGGCGCUGCCAACACAUCACAAUGAAGAAUUCCGACCCUUCAUCAGGAGACUCCCUGAGUUCAAAUUCUGGUACUCAGCUACUAAAGCAGUCCUGGUUGCCAUGGUGAUGACCUUCUUCGAAAUGUUCAACAUUCCGGUGUUCUGGCCAAUCCUGGUCCUGUAUUUCAUCAUGCUUACCUGCAUGACCAUGAAGAGGCAGAUCCGGCACAUGAUCAAGUAUCGCUAUGUUCCAUUCUCACACGGGAAAACACGCUACAGAGGCAAGGAAGAUACCGGAGACGUUUUCAUUAGCUGAGGAUUCCAGAUUGUAAUGUUUACUAAACACAUGAAACAGAUUGGAAACGGAUCAUACUAUCUGAAUUAAUCUGCACUCCCCAGACUGUGCUGUCCAGAGGGAACUGUGUGCGUGGGGUCUGGGGGAAGAAUAUUGCUUCAAACACAGGGAGAAAGUGACCAUGGCUGUGGGAUAGAGAGGCUUCACAGAAGAAGUUACAAUAAAGAGGUGUGGAAAUCAACAGAAAAGGAAAGCUCCAUGGCGAAGGCAGAGAGGAUGAAGUACGUGGAUUGGAAGGCCUGAGCGGAGGGCACUCUGAGCACAGCAUGAAGGAUACCGACAGGACCGGCACACUGGAGCUGCUGCACUCACAAGUUUGCUUUUGUGUCAAUUUUUGCUAUUACAACAAUUAUUAAUUAAAAUUAUUGUUUGAGAAGAUUUUGUUCAGAAGUGGCCCACCCUUUCUCAUGUGAGGUAAGGGAGGGAGCAGUUCAGUCUCCAUGCCUCAAGCCUGUCCUGGACUGUAGGGAGCACCCUUUCUCUUGGCAGGGGAAAUGGGAAAGCAGAUUAGUCUGUUUGCCCACCCAAACAUUUGUAGGACUCCUGAUUUUCCAUUCUUGGUAAUGGCAAAUUCCGUUUUUCAAAAUGACCAAUUCCUUUUUUAAAAAGGAAUAAUUCUGUUUUUUUCUGUUUUUACUAAUUUAUUAAGAAUUAACAAUGUAAUUUGAACAUAAAUAACAUUUUUACAUGAAAUCUAUUGAAUUCAUUAUAUAUUUUUUUUAUUCAAGUCCCUGAGAUACUGUAGUUUUCAGGAAAAAAAAUUCUUAAAGCAGUCCACUAGUAACAAUGUACUGUAGGUCAGUCAACAAAUAACGGGGUUUUGAAAAAACAGCUUAUUGCUAUUACAAUAUACAGACUAGUCAAACGAGGGGCAUUAUUACAAAAAUAUAUAAUUUUCAUAAAAUUACAAAUGAAAUACAAUGUUCAGGACACUUUUUAUCUCUCCCAUCUGUAGUUUCAUCUGCAACAACGCAGACUGGUUUAUGCUGUACUUGCUGUAAAACUGCUUGCAUGUGUUUCUCGUAUACCCUGGACAGAUAGAGGUGUCUUAGUUUUUUUUUUUUAAUUUAAGGGGGCCAGAUUGGAAAAAAAGUUAGGAGUAGGCGGGCCAGAGUAUUUUACUUUGUACAUUUGUAAGCAAUAAUAAAUAUUACAUAACUUAAUGUUCAUAUACUGAACACAAUUUACACAUUUUACCAUAUGAAUAGUACUUUAAUAAUAGAACAGUGUGAGAAUUUAACAGAGUAUCAUUACAAACAUUUUAAAAUGUAUGUGACAUACCAAUAGAAUAACUGUUAAGAAGUGAUCAGCAGUUCCACUUUUGAGCUUCUAACUACUGUGACCUCUGGAUACGUAUUUCCAAAAGCUUGUUUGGUUUCAAAAUGCAUUUUCAUAUUGUGUUCCUUAACUACUGACACACAUUCAUUGCACAAUAAACACAUCGGCUUUGCGUUCGGUACAGUUGGUAUAAUAAAUAAGUAUUUAUUGGUCCACUCAUUGUUGAAUCUACAAUUGUCACCAUUUUCUGUCAUUACUACAGUAGCUAGAGUAGAGAGAGCCACAUUAUAGCAACACGAGUAAAAAUAAGUUUUAUAAGGAGUUAAUGAUAAAUUAAAAAUAAUAAGUUAUAAAUUGAAAGGUUUCAGCUCUACUACCGCAUCGUUUCCUUGUGUUGAGCGGGUGACGGAGUAACGGAUUUGCGAUAAUAACUAAAUAAAUUAAUACAUAAAUUCAAUUACGUUUCUUCAAUCGGGGGGUUGAUGAUUUUUUUUUUUUUUUCCAGGUACUUUUCACUUUUCUGUAUAUACAACUAUACAACAAAAUGAUUCCACAGAACUCUCAAAACAGCUCGUUGCUUUUUUAAACAACUCGACUCACACAGCACACAAGCAGCGCCGCAACAGAGACAGACAGUUCAUCAGCGUAAUGCCCACAAAACCACCUGUUUUCUCAUUAUUCAAUGAUCCAAGUAAACAUACAAAAACUUUGCACAGUUUUGUUUUUUUUAAGGGCGCAGUUGCAAAGCAGAACCCCAUUCCCAAAAUGCCAAUUCCGUUCCCAAUGGCUAAUUCCGCGAUUCCAUCCAUUAUUCCGCGAUCUUGGAAAAUCAGUAGCCCUACAUUUGUAACAGUAAAAGAUGCCAACUGAACCAAAUUGUGCCAAAUUGUGUGGUGGUGUCUGGGCCGGGAUGUGGAGGUAUUCUGUCUGUCUGUCACUGGGGUCUAGGUCGUUGAAAUAAACUCAUUUCACAUUUUAUGACCUGUGCAGCCGGAUUUGAACCCAGGACUCCCCCGCCCUCCACCCCCCACCCCCGCCCUCCACCCCCCACCCCCGCCCUCCACCCCCCACCCCCACCCCCACCCUCCACCCCCCGCCCCCACCCCCACCCCCACCCCCACCCCCCACUCCCCACUCCCCACUAGGGAUGCUGUUCCACCACAUUAUAAAAAAACAUGUUACUCUAGAGACGAUUAGGUUGUGGCACCUGUACAGAAGUGUUGGACAGUGGGAUGCUGUGUUGGACAGUGGGAAGCUGUGUUGGAAGGUGGCUGACGCAGGUGAGCUGGUUCCCAAUGCAAUCCCUUCAUUAUAAUGUAACCUGAACUUGGUUUAUUUUGUCAUGGUGAAUGGAUAUAGGAAUGUUGUGCUUGGGAUUGAUUUAAUUUUGCUGCUGUAUUAUUUUUUUUGUUUGUCUAAUUUUUGUAAAUUAAUCCUGAAUAAUUACAUGUCCCGAAAUAAAACAAAAGGGAUUAUUUAC
Acipenser ruthenus (sterlet) is the source of this 3602-nucleotide RNA transcript. It is a transcript of the gene named protein RER1-like, with no coding region annotated. The record is from RefSeq and is a predicted model, not a curated record. The transcript is spliced from 8 exons. NCBI's taxonomy places the organism in Eukaryota, Metazoa, Chordata, Actinopteri, Acipenseriformes, Acipenseridae.